AGCACUAUACGGUGAAACUGCGAAUGGCUCAUUAAAUCAGUUAUCGUUUAUUUGAGAGAACCUUACUACAUGGAUAACCGUGGUAAUUCUAGAGCUAAUACAUGCUAAAAACCUCGACUUCGGAAGGGGUGUAUUUAUUAGAUAAAAAACCAAUGCCCUUCGGGGCUCCUUGGUGAAUCAUAAUAACUUAACGAAUCGCAUGGCCUUGCGCCGGCGAUGGUUCAUUCAAAUUUCUGCCCUAUCAACUUUCGAUGGUAGGAUAGUGGCCUACCAUGGUAUCAACGGGUAACGGGGAAUUAGGGUUCGACUCCGGAGAGGGAGCCUGAGAAACGGCUACCACAUCCAAGGAAGGCAGCAGGCGCGCAAAUUACCCAAUCCCGACACGGGGAGGUAGUGACAAUAAAUACUGAUACAGGGCUCUUUUGGGUCUUGUAAUUGGAAUGAGUACAAUUUAAAUCCCUUAACGAGGAACAAUUGGAGGGCAAGUCUGGUGCCAGCAGCCGCGGUAAUUCCAGCUCCAAUAGCGUAUAUUAAAGUUGUUGCAGUUAAAAAGCUCGUAGUUGAACCUUGGGCCUGGCUGGCCGGUCCGCCUCACCGCGUGUACUGGUCCGGCCGGGCCUUUCCUUCUGGGGAACCUCAUGCCCUUCACUGGGCGUGUUGGGGAACCAGGACUUUUACUUUGAAAAAAUUAGAGUGUUCAAAGCAGGCCUUUGCUCGAAUACAUUAGCAUGGAAUAAUAGAAUAGGACGUGUGGUUCUAUUUUGUUGGUUUCUAGGACCGCCGUAAUGAUUAAUAGGGAUAGUCGGGGGCAUCAGUAUUCAAUCGUCAGAGGUGAAAUUCUUGGAUUGAUUGAAGACUAACUACUGCGAAAGCAUUUGCCAAGGAUGUUUUCAUUAAUCAGUGAACGAAAGUUAGGGGAUCGAAGACGAUCAGAUACCGUCGUAGUCUUAACCAUAAACUAUGCCGACUAGGGAUAUCACCGUGUUAGUAUUUUGACCCGUUCGGCACCUUACGAGAAAUCAAAG
This 1025-nucleotide ribosomal RNA is filed under the name Cladosporium magnoliigena. RNAcentral describes it as "SSU rRNA". It matches the Rfam family "Eukaryotic small subunit ribosomal RNA", at positions 68 to 1103 of the family's 1831-position model. The record is from RNAcentral. Lineage: Eukaryota; Fungi; Ascomycota; Dothideomycetes; Cladosporiales; Cladosporiaceae.